CGCCUCGCUGGCUAGAAGGUAGAGUCGGCUCCUGCCCGGUGAUCCGUCCUGGGGUUGAGGGGGCGGAGCAGGCCUGGGAACGUCACUUCCGGUGUACACAGCCGGUCCGGGCGUUGCGCUGGGGGCCAGGGCGCGUCGCAGAAUCUCAUUUGAAAGUGAUAAAAUUUGAGUAGUAUUUCAGUUCAGCAUUUCCUUGAAUUCAACCCUAUAUGAAAGAUCAACACAGGAAUACCAGGAAACGACUUAGAGGCCUUAUGAAUACAUCCGUGCAUUCUUGCUUCAGACUUUACAAUUGAAGGCCAACCCAGUCUGGAAGCAACUCUUGUUACUGUUAUAAGGAAACCGCUACCUCAGCAAACAAAAGGAAAGGAAGACUUGUAAUAACGAAUGCCAUUUUUAAAGAAAACUUGUUUUCAGAAAACAGUACAGGAAAUUUGGAAAUUUUUAGUCUUGAGGAGAAGCUUUACAGGCAAAUGAUUUGACAGGCAGGCUCUGUCAAAAUAAUGCAGAGAUUUGAUCUCCCUUCUUAAGGACUUUGUGCGGAAUAACCCUGUAUUGCUUUUUAAGUUGCUGUUGAUCAGCUUGUGGGUUUUUGAGUUCUAACUUUUUUGAUGUAUUAAAGAUACAUCCUAUUACCUUUUUAAAAGUUAUUUUUCUGCCAUUGUAAAUACAAGUAUCAAAAUAUUCUUGCAGAGCAAUUAUAAGUAAACAUUUUUGUCAACAAG
This 725-nucleotide long non-coding RNA is filed under the name Heterocephalus glaber (naked mole-rat). RNAcentral's name for it is "lncRNA (ENSHGLG00100041981.1)". The record is from RNAcentral. Lineage: Eukaryota; Metazoa; Chordata; Mammalia; Rodentia; Bathyergidae.